Molecule: ribosomal RNA, 950 nt
Filed under: Candidatus Synechococcus spongiarum
Lineage: Bacteria; Bacillati; Cyanobacteriota; Cyanophyceae; Synechococcales; Synechococcaceae
Description: bacterial SSU rRNA
Rfam family: Bacterial small subunit ribosomal RNA
Source: RNAcentral
AGGCCUUUGGGCUGUAAACCUCUUUUCUCAAGGAAGAAGAUCUGACGGUACUUGAGGAAUAAGCCACGGCUAAUUCCGUGCCAGCAGCCGCGGUAAUACGGGAGUGGCAAGCGUUAUCCGGAAUUAUUGGGCGUAAAGCGUCCGCAGGCGGCCGUUUAAGUCUGUUGUUAAAUCGUGGAGCUCAACUCCAUCACGGCAAUGGAAACUGUUCGGCUUGAGUAUGGUAGGGGCAGAGGGAACUUCCGGUGUAGCGGUGAAAUGCGUAGAUAUCGGGAAGAACACCAGUGGCGAAAGCGCUCUGCUGGGCCAUUACUGACGCUCAUGGACGAAAGCCAGGGGAGCGAAAGGGAUUAGAUACCCCUGUAGUCCUGGCCAUAAACGAUGAACACUAGAUGUUGGGGGAAUCGACCCCCUCGGUGUCGUAGCUAACGCGUUAAGUGUUCCGCCUGGGGAGUACGCACGCAAGUGUGAAACUCAAAGGAAUUGACGGGGGCCCGCACAAGCGGUGGAGUAUGUGGUUUAAUUCGAUGCAACGCGAAGAACCUUACCAAGGAUUGACAUCCUGCGAAUCUCCAAGAAAUUGGAGAGUGCCUUCGGGAACGCAGUGACAGGUGGUGCAUGGCUGUCGUCAGCUCGUGUCGUGAGAUGUUGGGUUAAGUCCCGCAACGAGCGCAACCCACGUUUUUAGUUGCCAGCAUUCAGUUGGGCACUCUAGAAAGACUGCCGGUGACAAACCGGAGGAAGGUGUGGACGACGUCAAGUCAUCAUGCCCCUUACGCCUUGGGCUACACACGUACUACAAUGCUGCGGACAAAGAGUAGCGAUCUUGCAAAAGUUAGCUAAUCUCGUAAACCGUGGCUCAGUUCAGAUCGUAGGCUGCAACUCGCCUACGUGAAGGAGGAAUCGCUAGUAAUCGCAGGUCAGCAUACUGCGGUGAAUACGUUCCCCGG